Molecule: unclassified non-coding RNA, 154 nt
Filed under: uncultured fungus
Lineage: Eukaryota; Fungi
Description: sequence contains ITS1, 5.8S rRNA gene
Source: RNAcentral
CCGAGUGUCGAUUGUAUCAAUCAACCUCCACCCUUUGUUAUUCUAUCAAUUUGCUUCGGCGGGCCUUGAACUUGUUCAACAUCGGUCUGUGCGGAUGAGAGCCCGCCGAAGACACAAACUCUUGAAUUUGCUGUCUGAGUUACAAACAAAAUAA